CCCAGUGCAAUCCGUUGCACUAUCGUUAACUGAAUACAUAGGUUAAACGAGGCGAACCGGGGGGAAACUGAAACAUCUAAGUACCCCGAGGAAAAGAAAUCAACCGAGAUUCCCCCAGUAGCGGCGAGCGAACGGGGGAGCAGCCCGGAGUCUGAAUCAGCUUGUGUGUUAGUGGAACGGUCUGGAAAGUCCGACGGUACAGGGUGAUAGUCCCGUACACGAAAAUGCACAUGCUGUGAACUCGAAGAGUAGGGCGGGACACGUGGUAUCCUGUCUGAAUAUGGGGGGGACCAUCCUCCAAGGCUAAAUACUCCUGACUGACCGAUAGUGAACCAGUACCGUGAGGGAAAGGCGAAAAAGAACCCCGGCGAGGGGAGUGAAAAAGAACCUGAAACCGUGUACGUACAAGCAGUGGGAGCCUCUUUAUGGGGUGGACUGCGUACCUUUUGUAUAAUGGGUCAGCGACUUAUAUUCUGUAGCAAGGUUAACCGUAUAGGGGAGCCGAAGGGAAACCGAGUCUUAACUGGGCGUUAAGUUGC
RNAcentral lists this non-coding RNA (539 nucleotides) under Microbacterium sp. SUBG005. RNAcentral describes it as "bacterial LSU rRNA". It matches the Rfam family "Bacterial large subunit ribosomal RNA", at positions 127 to 703 of the family's 2925-position model. Lineage: Bacteria; Bacillati; Actinomycetota; Actinomycetes; Micrococcales; Microbacteriaceae. The record is from RNAcentral.